Malaclemys terrapin pileata is the source of this 681-nucleotide long non-coding RNA. RefSeq lists it as uncharacterized. The transcript has 2 exons. The record is from RefSeq and is a predicted model, not a curated record. Lineage: Eukaryota; Metazoa; Chordata; Testudines; Emydidae.
UCCUGAGCGCGGCGAGGGGAGAGCCGGGGGAGUGCAUGGGGGCCUCUGCCCAUAUGCAUCUGCUGCAGGAGCCCCCAGAAGGCAGCUCCUCCCUGUGGAGCUGCUGCAGCGGCCCAAGCCCGGCAAAGCCAGACCAAUUCCGAUGGAACCCCACCAGAAACAAACUUUUGGUUUUGUGGAACCUUGUUUUUUCAGCAUUUAAAUUUUGGUCUACAUUAGAAUUGACAUUCACUUUUGACUUCUGAGGUGCUGUGCUCAAAACAUGGGGCCCUGGUCCUGCAAUCAGAUCCACAUGGUGGAUCUUUGCAAUCAUACAGAGAUUGAAGUCAAUGGAGCUCUGCACAGUUGCAGAAGUCCACUUAGACAUGUCCAGUUGCAGGAUCAUGCCCAUAGUUAUAUGAUCCGCAUAUCAAAUUGUGAUGAAAUUAAAAGUGGCUAUGCCUACAUUAUUUAGUUUUCAAAGCAUUACGUUUCUAUAUUUCUUAAAUUCUACAUGCGCCUCCUAAGUUAGGCCAAAGAUACAUGAUUGUGACUUCCAACAGAACCCCAGUUGCAUGACACUCUUUGCAGUAACUGUUAUAUCUUGUAUUUAAUUGCCUGUAAAACUUGCUGCUAAUAGAAUGUAAAAUAUUACUAUAAAGUAUAGUCUGAAUUACAAUUAAAAACACUACUAAGUAUAAA